RNAcentral lists this unclassified non-coding RNA (1514 nucleotides) under Neodiprion lecontei (redheaded pine sawfly). RNAcentral describes it as "phospholipase A1 member A, transcript variant X4". Lineage: Eukaryota; Metazoa; Arthropoda; Insecta; Hymenoptera; Diprionidae. The record is from RNAcentral.
UACAGCCACGCGCGUGAAGAAAAAAAAAAAUUCACAUCCGGUUUUUCGCAACGUUUAAAUCAAUUUCUAUCAUAUCUUGGCACCAGCGAUGCCUCGCAAAUAAAUAAAUUAUCAUUUGAAACAAAUGAAUAGCCAAAUGAAAAUCAAGCGAUAAUAAUUCUAAUCAGUUUAAUAUUUAAACCGUAAAAGACUCGCUGAAAUUUCGAUCGUUGGAAGAGAAAUUAAUUUCCUGCAGUCUCGUGCAGUUUGAAGCAGCUCUGACAAUCACUACGAAGAUGUCGAAAAUUUUUAACGGGAGCAAACCGAACAUCGUGUUUAUUUUUAUCGUACAAUUUCUCGCUCUUCGUUUCACCCCGGCCGAAGGCAUGACCGAAAAUGAGCUGGCCAGAAUAUCUCUGCGUGUUUAUCUGGGGGAAACUAUUAGCAACAAAUAUUAUGACGUACCUAUUGGGGAAACACGUAAUCUGGCAUUGAAAUUAGACGCUGCGAAGCCAACCGUUUUAUACCUUCACGGUUUUCAAGAAAACCUCGAACGGGAAAGCGUUCGCACUAUUGUUGGUGCUUACCUGAAACGCGGUGAUCACAACGUGAUCGCGGUGAAUUACGCCGAAAUAGCAAACGGAACUUACGUUCAGGCCGCCGAGAGUGCCGAAGCGGUUGGAAAGAAAUUGGCAAUCGCUCUGCGCCAAUUGAUUGCGGGUGUUCUGGACCCGAAGCUAAUUCACAUCGUGGGCUAUUCGCUGGGUGCUCAAGUGGCCGCAUACAUAAACAAAUACGCCGUGGUAUUCAAGGUGCAGCGACUAACGGGUUCGUUUUCAUCUUCUUACGAAACUCAAUCACGCACGGAGGGGAUAAAGACCACUGCUUCCGUUUCUGGGAUAAAUGUCGUCCCUUUUUCUCAGCUCUGGAUCCCAUCGGACCCGCAUUUCUCGCUGUUGCUAAGCGAAUCACGUCAGCCGAUGCGAAAUUCGUCGACGUUAUUCACACCGACGCCUUCAUUUACGGCAACGGCUACGCAUCCGGCGGUGCAGAUUUUUGGCCCAAUAGUGGCCUGCGUGUUCAGCCAGGAUGUCCACUACAGUACGAAAAAGGCAGCGAGGAAGAUUUUUGCAGCCAUCAAAGAUCAUGGCAAUACUACGCGGAAUCGGUUGAAAACCCGAAAGCAUUUAUGGCGGCAAAAUCCGUCACAUGGACGAAAUUUUUAGGGAGCGCACACAAGAAACAGGAUCUUGUUCCUAUGGGAUUGGCGACGCCUUUCGGCACUUUUUCAACGUAGUGCAAACUGACGGAGCGAGGAUAUUGCAGAAAUGAAAAACAUCCUUGUAAUAAUGAUACAAACUCUGAACGACUCGUGUACAAAAUAUAUCGCCUGUCUCUUUUUUCUGUAUAAAAUCACGUUUUAUGAAGUCUGUGCGUUGCGAUCAACCGCAUGAUAAAUUGGACAAAUUAAAAGGUAAAUGAUAGGAAAACACACGUGGGCGAUUUGUAUAAUGAAAACACCUGUUAUUUUUUAU